Cyprinus carpio (common carp) is the source of this 498-nucleotide long non-coding RNA. RefSeq lists it as uncharacterized. The transcript has 3 exons. The record is from RefSeq and is a predicted model, not a curated record. Lineage: Eukaryota; Metazoa; Chordata; Actinopteri; Cypriniformes; Cyprinidae.
CUGUGGCCCUCCAGGAAUUGAGUUUGAGACCACUGAUUUAAUCAAACACUCUGGGCUAGCAUUAGCAUUAGCAUUUGCAGUUUGACUGAACAUGAGCUGAAGCUGCUUCUAACAUAAACCAUCUGUACAGUGUCUGGCCAACAUUACAGCCAAUUAAAAAAUUAAUAGCCACAGGACAGAUGGUGUUUAGUGAGGUGCUCCUGCAGCAAAAAAGAGGUCAAGAGUCUCCACAAAAACAAACAACAAAUAAAUAGCUUUCCAGAAGCUGGUUUUUGCUAGCUGAAUGCACUCCACUCCACAGGGAAAGUUUAUUUUGGUUUCUCUUUGGGUUCCCAUCGAGGGAAAGGCAAAACAACCUGAGCAGGCUCAAAGCCAAUGGAAGGAGGGGCAUCUUCCAGCCUCUGUACAGCAAACCGUAAACCAACUGACAACUAGAGCCGGAGAGGGAGAGGGAGAGAGAGAGAGAGAGAGAGAGGGGAGAAGGAAGGGAAAAACAUG